UACGAAGGGGGCGAGCGUUGUUCGGAAUUACUGGGCGUAAAGGGCGCGCAGGCGGCCUCAGGAGUCAGAUGUGAAAUCCCCGAGCUCAACUUGGGAAUUGCAGUGGAUACUGGCAGGCUGGAGUAUGGUAGAGGAAGGUGGAAUUCCCGGUGUAGCAGUGAAAUGCGUAGAGAUCGGGAGGAACACCAGUGGCGAAGGCGGCCUUCUGGACCAAUACUGACGCUCAUGCACGAAAGCGUGGGGAGCAAACAGG
This 253-nucleotide ribosomal RNA is filed under the name uncultured bacterium. RNAcentral describes it as "partial 16S ribosomal RNA". It matches the Rfam family "Bacterial small subunit ribosomal RNA", at positions 524 to 776 of the family's 1533-position model. The record is from RNAcentral.